CCUACGGGAGGCUGCAGUGGGGAAUAUUGGUCAAUGGGCGCGAGCCUGAACCAGCCAAGUAGCGUGAAGGAUGACUGCCCUACGGGUUGUAAACUUCUUUUAUACAGGGAUAAAGUGCGGCACGUGUGCCUUUUUGUAUGUACUUUAUGAAUAAGGAUCGGCUAAUUCCGUGCCAGCAGCCGCGGUAAUACGGAGGGUCCGAGCGUUAUCCGGAUUUAUUGGGUUUAAAGGGAGCGUAGAUGGGAUGUUAAGCCUGUUGUGAAAGUUUGCGGCUCAACCGUAAAAUUGCAAUGGAUACUGGCAGUCUUGAGUACAGGUGAGGUAGGCGGAAUUCGUGGUGUAGCGGUGAAAUGCUUAGAUAUCACGAAGAACUCCGAUUGCGAAGGCAGCUUACGAAACUGCCACUGACAUUGAUGCUCGAAAGUGUGGGUAUCAAACAGGAUUAGAUACCCCAGUAGUC
RNAcentral lists this ribosomal RNA (460 nucleotides) under uncultured bacterium. Its description in RNAcentral is "partial 16S ribosomal RNA". It matches the Rfam family "Bacterial small subunit ribosomal RNA", at positions 338 to 795 of the family's 1533-position model. The record is from RNAcentral.